AAGGGUUCCAAAGCCUCAUGGUGGAGGGGUCUUCACUCUCUUCGUGGUUUUCUGUUUUUUUUUUUUUUAAACUGAAAACUCUAUCAAUCACUGAGAACAAUUUUUUUUUUGUUAUUAGAUGGAGCUUAAAGCCUAAAGAAAACAAACAAGAAAUAACCAAAGUACAUAUUAAGCGGGGUAAUGUUGCCCCCUCUAUCAUCCACAUAGAGAAUUCUAACAAGAUCCUGGGGAGGAGAAUCCCAUAACAAAAAACCUUCUUCAUGCUCUAAACUCUUUCUGCCUAGGCAAUCAGCACUGUACAAAAUGAAUCCUCCAAUUAUAGUUUUUGAGCUCAAGGAUUCUAUGAAUUAGAGGAUUAGGAUGCCUGGUGAGAUUCUUUCCCCCAUUGAGGAGCUUCACCACUGCCGCGGAAUCGCAUUCAACAAUAAUCUUUUUCAGACUCAUCCUCCACGCCAGUUUCAAGCCAUCCGCCACUCCCCAUAGUUCUGCAGUAAAAGCUGAACAAACUCUGAAUGUUUUGCGUGUAACCAGCAACCUACCUCCCCUCUUCAUUUUGAAUCAGCCCGCCGUAGCCAACCCUUUCCAAAUUUUGCUGCACAGACCCGUCCAAGUUGAGUUUCGCCUAACCUUCCGGAGGAGGCUGCCACCUAAUUCCGAUUUCAAUCCUUUCUAUCAUUCUCCCCACGAGGCAACCAUUAUCAGCAACAAAAUUCAAGAUUAAGCAAUGCUCAUGAAUAAUGUAUGGCAACAACAUUCGCCCAGCAGACCAACCCUAUUCCCAUUAAGAAUAUUAAAAACGCAUUCAAAUAUACUAUUAAACCCCAACUCAGAAUUUUCCAUCACUGAAUUCUACUCCCCAUUAAUAAAUUAACUCAGGUAAUAACAUCA
This is a non-coding RNA of Arachis ipaensis, 888 nucleotides long. NCBI's taxonomy places the organism in Eukaryota, Viridiplantae, Streptophyta, Magnoliopsida, Fabales, Fabaceae. The record is from RefSeq and is a predicted model, not a curated record.